RNAcentral lists this ribosomal RNA (272 nucleotides) under uncultured Herbaspirillum sp. RNAcentral describes it as "partial 16S ribosomal RNA". It matches the Rfam family "Bacterial small subunit ribosomal RNA", at positions 524 to 795 of the family's 1533-position model. The record is from RNAcentral. Lineage: Bacteria; Pseudomonadati; Pseudomonadota; Betaproteobacteria; Burkholderiales; Oxalobacteraceae.
UACUUAUUUUUCAAGCGUUAAUCGGAAUUACUGGGCGUAAAGCGUGCGCAGGCGGUUGUGCAAGACAGAUGUGAAAUCCCCGGGCUCAACCUGGGAAUGGCAUUUGUGACUGCACGGCUAGAGUGUGUCAGAGGGGGGUAGAAUUCCACGUGUAGCAGUGAAAUGCGUAGAUAUGUGGAGGAAUACCGAUGGCGAAGGCAGCCCCCUGGGAUAACACUGACGCUCAUGCACGAAAGCGUGGGGAGCAAACAGGAGUAGAUAACCCAGGAGUC